Molecule: transfer RNA, 93 nt
Filed under: Caudoviricetes sp.
Lineage: Duplodnaviria; Heunggongvirae; Uroviricota; Caudoviricetes
Description: tRNA-Ser
Rfam family: tRNA (bases 4-84)
About the family: Transfer RNA (tRNA) molecules are approximately 80 nucleotides in length. Their secondary structure includes four short double-helical elements and three loops (D, anti-codon, and T loops). Further hydrogen bonds mediate the characteristic L-shaped molecular structure. tRNAs have two regions of fundamental functional importance: the anti-codon, which is responsible for specific mRNA codon recognition, and the 3' end, to which the tRNAs corresponding amino acid is attached (by aminoacyl-tRNA synthetases). tRNAs cope with the degeneracy of the genetic code in two manners: having more than one tRNA (with a specific anti-codon) for a particular amino acid; and 'wobble' base-pairing, i.e. permitting non-standard base-pairing at the 3rd anti-codon position.
Source: RNAcentral
GCCGAUAUGGUGUAAUGGUAUCACAAGAGAUUGCUAAUCUCUCUAACGAACAAAAUCGUUAUGCAGGUUCGAUUCCUGUCUAUCCGAUUAUCA